This 403-nucleotide ribosomal RNA is filed under the name uncultured bacterium. RNAcentral describes it as "partial 16S ribosomal RNA". It matches the Rfam family "Bacterial small subunit ribosomal RNA", at positions 28 to 526 of the family's 1533-position model. The record is from RNAcentral.
GACGAACGCUGGCGGCGUGCCUACUACAUGCAAGUCGACCGCAGUGGGGACGGGAGAGUAACCCGUGGGUAACCUCCCAUCAGAGGGGAUAACACUUGGAAACAGGUGCUAAACCGAUACUGAUGGAUGAACCCGCGGUGCAUUAGCUAGUUGGUGAGGUAACGGCUCACAAAGGCCACGAGGCAUCCCCGACCUGAGAGGGUGACCGGCCAGACGGGGACUGAGACACGGCCCAGACUCCGCCGGGAGGCAGCAGUAGGGAAUCUUCGGCAAUGGACGAAAGUCUGACCGAGCAACGCCGCGUGAGUGAAGAAGGUUUUCGGAUCGUAAAACUCUGUUGUUAGAGAAGCGGUAUCUAACCAGAAAGCCACGGCUAACUACGUGCCAGCAGCCGCGGUAAUAC